GUAUAAGAGACAGCAGCAGCCGCGGGAAUACAGAGGGUGCGAGCGUUAAUCGGAUUUACUGGGCGUAAAGCGUGCGUAGGCGGCUUUUUAAGUCGGAUGUGAAAUCCCUGAGCUUAACUUAGGAAUUGCAUUCGAUACUGGGAAGCUAGAGUAUGGGAGAGGAUGGUAGAAUUCCAGGUGUAGCGGUGAAAUGCGUAGAGAUCUGGAGGAAUACCGAUGGCGAAGGCAGCCAUCUGGCCUAAUACUGACGCUGAGGUACGAAAGCAUGGGGAGCAAACAGGAUUAGAUACCCCCGUAGUCCCUGUCUCUUAUAC
Molecule: ribosomal RNA, 314 nt
Filed under: uncultured bacterium
Lineage: Bacteria
Description: partial 16S ribosomal RNA
Rfam family: Bacterial small subunit ribosomal RNA
Source: RNAcentral